Molecule: ribosomal RNA, 454 nt
Filed under: uncultured bacterium
Lineage: Bacteria
Description: bacterial SSU rRNA
Rfam family: Bacterial small subunit ribosomal RNA
Source: RNAcentral
AACGAACGCUGGCGGCAGGCUUAACACAUGCAAGUCGAGCGCGCGCCUUCGGGCGUGAGCGGCGGACGGGUGAGUAACGCGUGGGAACGUGCCUUCUUCUCCGGAAUAGCCCUGGGAAACCGGGAGUAAUGCCGGAUACGGCCUUUUGGCGAAAGAUUUAUCGGAGGAAGAUCGGCCCGCGUCGGAUUAGGUAGUUGGUGGGGUAACGGCCUACCAAGCCGACGAUCCGUAGCUGGUUUGAGAGGAUGACCAGCCACACUGGGACUGAGACACGGCCCAGACUCCUACGGGAGGCAGCAGUGGGGAAUCUUGGACAAUGGGGGCAACCCUGAUCCAGCCAUGCCGCGUGAGCGAUGAAGGCCUUAGGGUUGUAAAGCUCUUUCAGCGGGGAAGAUAAUGACGGUACCCGCAGAAGAAGCCCCGGCUAACUCCGUGCCAGCAGCCGCCGUAAAAC